Molecule: ribosomal RNA, 327 nt
Filed under: uncultured bacterium
Lineage: Bacteria
Description: bacterial SSU rRNA
Rfam family: Bacterial small subunit ribosomal RNA
Source: RNAcentral
AGAACGAACGCUGGUCCCGUGCUUAAACAUGCAAGUCGAGCGGAAAGGCCUUUCGGGGUACUCGAGCGGUGACCGGGUGAGUAACACGUGAGCAAUCUGCCCCGAUCUCUGGGAUAACUGCGGGAAACCGCAGCUAAUACCGGAUACGACCCGGGAAGGCAUCUUCACUGGGUGGAAAGUUUUUCGGUUCGGGAUGAGCUCGCGGCCUAUCAGCUUGUUGGUGGGGUAACGGCCUACCAAGGCGACGACUGGUAGCCGGCCUGAGAGGGCGACCGGCCACACUGGGACUGAGACACGGCCCAGACUCCUACGGGAGGCAGCAGUGGG